This is a long non-coding RNA of Bos grunniens (domestic yak), 3263 nucleotides long. The record is from Ensembl. NCBI's taxonomy places the organism in Eukaryota, Metazoa, Chordata, Mammalia, Artiodactyla, Bovidae.
AUGUACAAGCCAGUGGAGGUUACGUCCCUUCUGAAGUUGGAGAGGAAAGAUGCGCAGGAAAGACGACUUAAAAUGACCAAGAUGGAAAGAAAUUUAGGCGAAGUGCCCAUUUUCCUGUCUGGGUCUAUCUACUCCACCAGCCUGGGACGCCUGCCACUUCCUGCUGCUUCACCCUUACCCCCAGCUAAGGUGUGUGCUCAAAAGCUGAUAAAGGUGAUUUAUACCCUAUAUCAUGAAACUCAUGCAUUUUAAGUAGUUACUCCAUUCCAAAUUUGUGCAACCAUUACCACUAAUUCCAGAACGUUUUCAUCACCCGUAAAAGAAACUUGAUGUCCUUUAGCCAUCAUUCCUUCACCCCCAUCACUAAUCUACGUUCUGUCUCUAGAGAUAUGCCUCUUCUGGACAUUUCCUAUAAAAGGAAUCCUACAGUCUGUGAGUUUUGUGUCUGACUUUUUCAUAAAACAGUGGUCCCCAACCUUCUUGACACCAGGGACUGGUUUCAUGGAAGACAAUUUUUCCACAGAUGGGGUGGGGUGGGGGAUGAUUUCGGGAUGGUUGAAGCACAUAACAUUUAUUGUACACUUUAUUGUUACUACAUUGUGAUACAUAAUGAAAUAACCAUGCAGCUCAUCACAGUGCAGAAUCAGAUCAUCAGGCAUUAGAUUCUCAUAAGGAUCUUGCAAGUUAGAUCCUUAACAUGCUCAAUUCACAGUAGGGUUCACACUCCUUUGAGAAUUUAAUACCUCUGCUGAUCCGACAGGAGGCAGAGCUCAGGUGGUAAUGUGAGUGACGGGGCGGCUGUAAAUACAGAUGAAGUUUUACUCGCUUGCCCUCUGCUCACCUCCUUCCAGUUCCUAAGAGGUCAUGGAUCGGUACUAGUCUGUGGCCCAGGAGUUGGGGACCCCUGACUUAGAAGAAUGUUUUCAAGGUUCAUCCGUGUGUGUAACAUGAAUCAGUACUUCAUUCCUUCUUAUGGCUGAAGAGCAUUCCGUGCUCCUCACUUGGUUCAUCCAUUCAUCAGUCGAUGUACAUUAAUGUUGUUUCACCUUUUGGCUAAUAUUAAUAAUACUGUGAUGAACAUUCCUGUACAGGUUUUCAUGAUAUAAAUGUUUUCAUUUCUCCUGGUUAUAUAGUUUGCAGUGGAAUUUCUGGAUCACAUGGGAACUCUAUGUUUAACUUUCUGAGAAACUGCCAAACUGUUCUGCAAAAUGGCUGCACCAUUUCACAUUCCCACCAACACCACCUGAGGAUGCCGUCUCACCACAUCCACAUCCUGGUUAUCUACUGCCUUUUUGGUCAUGGCUAUCUGUGUGGAUGUGAAGUCCUAGUUUAUUGUGGUUUUCAUUUGCAUUUCCUAAUAACUAACAAUUUUGAACAGCUUCUCAGGUGUUUAUUGACUGUUUGAAUUCUUAUUUAAUCUUGCAUUUCUCUGCUCCUGGGUGUCUAGAGGUUGAGGCUGUGUGGUGUUGGGCAAUUUUUUUAAAUCUGCAAAUCAUGUACGUUAGCAGCAACCACUUCUCAAACUCUUUGGCAAGAGACAACUUUUGCUCUGUGUCUCAUCCCACUGUUCUGGUCCCAACCUUUUCACUGUGUCUGUGCGCUGGCCUUCUCUUCACUCUCCAGCCUGACUCCCACCUUCGUCUCAUCUUCCAGCCAGCUUUCUUCCUCCAGAUGGAAGAAGCCACAAACUUGAAAUAUUUGGUCCCUCCUGACCUGCUGUGAAAUACUUCCUCUCACAUACCUCUGUUAAAAACGUUUUAUGAUCCCGCAUAUUAAUCAAUGUGGUUCUUUACCAGCGUCGCAUAAUUGUGCCAUGAACCGCAGCCAUAAGUCAAAAGACCUUCUCUAAACUUUCAGUGAUUGUUCUGGACAGUUUUGUAGGAGGGAAGACGGAGACGUUUAAUCAGACUAGGAGUCUUUCAGGAGAGCAUCCAACCUACCUCAGGACUCAUCCAAAGGCCAUUUGCUUUUCCCUCCCAAGCAUUUCGCUUGAUCCAAGGUCUGUUAACAAUUUGAAAGUCAAACUCCUGUCUCGGGUUACGGAAUGGGUAUCUCCUUUUGUUGUGUGGGAUCAGACACCUGAUCCCAGCUGGUAGAUCCCCAAGGAUGCUCCUUCCGCACGAAGCUCCAGAAUUACCUUCUCAAGUGGACAGUGCCACGUAACCACACUGGGCAUCCGAUCGCCCCUCCUGGAAGGCAGCAGACAUCUGCCAGGAUCCCAGGACCGUGUUUUAUAUAAACAAGCCCAGCUCACUCCAUCAUUCGGAGAUGUGUGUGUGGAGGCAGGCAAUAGCCUUGGGACCACAUGCUUUUGAUAAUCUUUUGGCAAGUGAGCACUUCCCAAGCCAGGAUUUGUCAUCAUCUUUUCUCUUUCUUAGCGGUGAGAGAAUAGAUACAUGUUUUAUUGGUUCCACUUUUUGAAAGUCACUGGUCUGUUUUUGCUGCCUGACUUUCAAGGCUAAGAAUGUCAGUUUUGGUUACUUUCCAUCUCUCAGUGGAGGUUACGUCCCUUCUGAAGUUGGAGAGGAAAGAUGCGAGGAAAGACGACUUAAAAUGACCAAGAUGGAAAGAAAUUUAGGCGAAGUGCCCAUUUUCCUGUCUGGGUCUAUCUACUCCACCAGCCUGGGACGCCUGCCACUUCCUGCUGCUUCACCCUUACCCCAGCUAAGGUGUGUGCUCAAAAGCUGAUAAAGGUGAUUUAUACCCUAUAUCAUGAAACUCAUGCAUUUUAAGUAGUUACUCCAUUCCAAAUUUGUGCAACCAUUACCACUAAUUCCAGAACGUUUUCAUCACCCGUAAAAGAAACUUGAUGUCCUUUAGCCAUCAUUCCUUCACCCCCAUCACUAAUCUACGUUCUGUCUCUAGAGAUAUGCCUCUUCUGGACAUUUCCUAUAAAAGGAAUCCUACAGUCUGUGAGUUUUGUGUCUGACUUUUUCACAUAAAACAGUGGUCCCCAACCUUCUUGACACCAGGGACUGGUUUCAUGGAAGACAAUUUUUCCACAGAUGGGGUGGGGUGGGGGAUGAUUUCGGGAUGGUUGAAGCACAUAACAUUUAUUGUACACUUUAUUGUUACUACAUUGUGAUACAUAAUGAAAUAACCAUGCAGCUCAUCACAGUGCAGAAUCAGAUCAUCAGGCAUUAGAUUCUCAUAAGGAUCUUGCAAGUUAGAUCCUUAACAUGCUCAAUUCACAGUAGGGUUCACACUCCUUUGAGAAUUUAAUACCUCUGCUGAUCCGACAGGAGGCAGAGCUCAGGUGGUAA